RNAcentral lists this ribosomal RNA (460 nucleotides) under uncultured bacterium. Its description in RNAcentral is "partial 16S ribosomal RNA". It matches the Rfam family "Bacterial small subunit ribosomal RNA", at positions 338 to 795 of the family's 1533-position model. The record is from RNAcentral.
CCUACGGGAGGCAGCAGUGAGGAAUAUUGGUCAAUGGACGAGAGUCUGAACCAGCCAAGUAGCGUGAAGGAUGACUGCCCUAUGGGUUGUAAACUUCUUUUAUAUGGGAAUAAAACGUUCCACGUGUGGGAUUUUGUAUGUACCAUAUGAAUAAGGAUCGGCUAACUCCGUGCCAGCAGCCGCGGUAAUACGGAGGAUCCGAUCGUUAGCCGGAUUUAUUGGGUUUAAAGGGAGCGUAGGUGGAUUGGUAAGUCAGUUGUGAAAGUUUGCGGCUCAACCGUAAAAGUGCAGUUGAAACUGGCAGGCUUGAGUACAGUAGAGGUGGGCGGAAUUCGUGGUGUAGCGGUGAAAUGCUUAGAUAUCACGAAGAACUCCGAUUGCGAAGGCAGUUCACUGGACUGCAACUGACACUGAGGCUCGAAAGUGUGGGUAUCAAACAGGAUUAGAUACCCGAGUAGUC